UUUUGGCUUUCUUUUACCGCGCUUUUAAUCCAAGCCAAAGAACAAUCUGCUGUAGUUCAUCAAUUCAGAUAAUUCAGAGUCAUUUACCAAAGGUUAUAGAUACAGAUUGUAGGAUUUAUGAAGAAUUAUUCAUUUGCGGUGUAACUGAAAUACACUUUUUGUAGAAAUUAUUGAAAAGAUAAAUAAAAUGGGAUACAUAGGGGCGCAUGGAGUAGCAGCUCUGCAUAGGUACAAGUACAGUGGAGUGGAUCACUCUUAUUUGGCAAAAUAUGUUUUGCAGCCUUUCUGGACUCGCUGUGUUCAUUUCUUCCCUCUUUGGAUGCCACCUAAUAUGAUUACGCUUAUGGGAUUCAUGUUCCUUGUUACAUCUGCAUUGCUUGGAUAUGUGAGCUCUCUCUCUCUCU
Non-coding RNA from Erythranthe guttata (spotted monkey flower), 404 nucleotides. Lineage: Eukaryota; Viridiplantae; Streptophyta; Magnoliopsida; Lamiales; Phrymaceae. The record is from RefSeq and is a predicted model, not a curated record.